GGACUACCCGGGUAUCUAAUCCUGUUUGCUACCCACGCUUUCGCGUCUCAGCGUCAGUAUCCGUCCAGACGGCCGCCUUCGCCACUGGUGUUCCUCCCGAUAUCUACGAAUUUCACCUCUACACCGGGAAUUCCGCCAUCCUCUCCGGUACUCAAGCAAGGUAGUUUCGGGCGCACUUCCUCGGUUGAGCCGAGGGCUUUCACACCCGACAUGCCUUGCCGCCUACACGCGCUUUACGCCCAAUAAUUCCGAACAACGCUUGCACCCUCUGUAUUACCGCGGCUGCUGGCAC
This 292-nucleotide ribosomal RNA is filed under the name uncultured bacterium. Its description in RNAcentral is "partial 16S ribosomal RNA". The record is from RNAcentral.